This 308-nucleotide ribosomal RNA is filed under the name uncultured bacterium. Its description in RNAcentral is "bacterial SSU rRNA". It matches the Rfam family "Bacterial small subunit ribosomal RNA", at positions 28 to 334 of the family's 1533-position model. The record is from RNAcentral.
GAUGAACGCUAGCGGCAGGCCUAACACAUGCAAGUCGAGGGGUAACAGGAAAGCUUGCUUUCGCUGACGACCGGCGCACGGGUGCGUAACGCGUAUGCAACCUACCUCAUACUGGAGGAUAGCCCCUGGAAACGGGGAUUAAUACUCCAUAGUAUCACGAAUUCGCAUGUUUUUGUGAUUAAAGUUUUUCGGUAUGAGAUGGGCAUGCGUCCCAUUAGCUUGUUGGUGAGGCAACGGCUCACCAAGGCAACGAUGGGUAGGGGGCCUGAGAGGGUGGUCCCCCACACUGGUACUGAGACACGGACCGG